GAUGAAGAACGUAGCGAAAUGCGAUAAGUAAUGUGAAUUGCAGAAUUCAGUGAAUCAUCGAAUCUUUGAACGCACAUUGCGCCCGCCAGUAUUCUGGCGGGCAUGCCUGUUCGAGCGUCAUUUCAACCAUCAAGCCCCAGGCUUGUGUUGGGGACCUGCGGCUGCCGCAGGCCCUGAAAACCAGUGGCGGGCUCGCUGUCCACACCGAGCGUAGUAACUAACCUCGCUAUGGAGUGGCGCGGGCGCCUGCCGUAAAACCCCCAAUUUCACAAGGUUGACCUCGGAUCAGGUAGGAAUACCCGCUGAACUUAAGCAUAUCAAUAAGCGGAGGAA
This 333-nucleotide unclassified non-coding RNA is filed under the name soil metagenome. RNAcentral describes it as "partial contains 5.8S ribosomal RNA, internal transcribed spacer 2, and large subunit ribosomal RNA". The stretch from base 1 to 120 matches the Rfam family "5.8S ribosomal RNA", at positions 35 to 154 of the family's 154-position model. The record is from RNAcentral.